Molecule: ribosomal RNA, 285 nt
Filed under: uncultured Denitrovibrio sp.
Lineage: Bacteria; Pseudomonadati; Deferribacterota; Deferribacteres; Deferribacterales; Geovibrionaceae
Description: partial 16S ribosomal RNA
Rfam family: Bacterial small subunit ribosomal RNA
Source: RNAcentral
CCCUAUUUUAGUUGCCAUCAGGUUAAGCUGGGCACUCUAAAGAGACUGCCGUCGAUAAGGCGGAGGAAGGUGGGGACGGACGUCAAGUCAUCAUGGCCCUUAUCGUCUAGGGCUACGACACGUGCUACAAUGGGUUAUACAGAGGGCAGGCUAGCUCGCGAGAGUCUGCGAACUCCCUUAAAGUAAUCCUCAGUUCGGAUUGUAGUCUGCAACUCGACUACAUGAAGUUGGAAUCGCUAGUAAUCGCAGGUCAGCAAAACUGCGGUGAAUACGUUCCCGGGCCUU